AGAGUUUGAUCCUGGCUCAGGAUGAACGCUAGCGGCAGGCCUAACACAUGCAAGUCGAGGGGCAGCGCGGGCAGCAAUGCCUGGCGGCGACCGGCGCACGGGUGAGCAACGCGUAUGCAACCUGCCCUCCACAGGGGGAUAGCCCGCCGAAAGGCGGAUUAAUACCCCAUGGCCCCCCCGGCCGACAUCGGCUGGGGGGUAAAGGAUUCGUCCGGUGGAGGAUGGGCAUGCGUGCCAUUAGCUGGCUGGCGGGGUAACGGCCCACCAGGGCGACGAUGGCUAGGGGGCCUGAGAGGGUGGUCCCCCACACUGGUACUGAGACACGGACCAGACUCCUACGGGAGGCAGCAGUGAGGAAUAUUGGUCAAUGGGCGGAAGCCUGAACCAGCCAUGCCGCGUGCAGGAAGACGGCCCUACGGGUUGUAAACUGCUUUUCCGGGGGAAGAAUAAUCCCGACGAGUCGGGAGAUGCCGGUACCCCGGGAAUAAGGAUCGGCUAACUCCGUGCCAGCAGCCGCGGUAAUACGGAGGAUCCGAGCGUUAUCCGGAUUUACUGGGUUUAAAGGGUGCGUAGGCGGGCGCCUAAGUCAGCGGUGAAAGGCUGCGGCUCAACCAAUGUAAGCCUUUGGAACUGACGAGCUUGAGUGCAGGAGAGGUAAGUGGAAUUCCUAGUGUAGAGGUGAAAUUCGUAGAUAUUAGGAGGAACACCAGUGGCGAAGGCGACUUACUGGACUGUAACUGACACUGAGGCACGAAAGCGUGGGGAGCGAACAGGAUUAGAUACCCUGGUAGUCC
RNAcentral lists this ribosomal RNA (794 nucleotides) under uncultured bacterium. Its description in RNAcentral is "bacterial SSU rRNA". It matches the Rfam family "Bacterial small subunit ribosomal RNA", at positions 8 to 796 of the family's 1533-position model. The record is from RNAcentral.